ACGCCUUCCUAGUAAUAACUUAGUUUUAGGUAAGUGAGUGAGUCUCUCCUACCAUGGACAUACUACACGAUAGGGUGCGACAACCCUCUCGGUAACGUUACAUUACUGUACAUAAGAUUUAAACAUAGCGCAUGAGUGAAAUGAUACAAUCAGCGCACAGCGGUCGGUAGCCGACGAAAACUGUUGUUAAAAUGGUUAAACACGAUAACUCUAAUUUUGUUUUAUUCUGAGUUACACCUCCGAGUGAAUCAGGAAUUUAGCUACUUUUUGUAUCAUUAGACACCUAUUACUACACUCAACACUUUAACACACUCGUAACACAGAAACCUACUUUUACAGUCGUACCUACGUACGCACAGAUACGACGUGAACAAAGUCAUAUAUAGUGACAUGUAAACAGCAAUGAUAUGCGAACUUCCGUUAUCAUAUGUGACGAGCGCUAGUGUUCACACUAUAGCUAGAACCCAAAUAUACUGCACAUAGACUAUAGUUCACACUGCUGGCGAUUGA
This 510-nucleotide ribosomal RNA is filed under the name Dermanyssus gallinae. RNAcentral's name for it is "eukaryotic LSU rRNA". The record is from RNAcentral. Lineage: Eukaryota; Metazoa; Arthropoda; Arachnida; Mesostigmata; Dermanyssidae.